This 467-nucleotide ribosomal RNA is filed under the name uncultured bacterium. Its description in RNAcentral is "partial 16S ribosomal RNA". It matches the Rfam family "Bacterial small subunit ribosomal RNA", at positions 28 to 506 of the family's 1533-position model. The record is from RNAcentral.
GACGAACGUUGGCGGCGUGCUUAACACAUGCAAGUCGAACGGAAAGGCCCUGCUUUUGUGGGGUGCUCGAGUGGCGAACGGGUGAGUAACACGUGAGUAACCUGCCCUUGACUUUGGGAUAACUUCAGGAAACUGGGGCUAAUACCGGAUAGGAGCUCCUGCUGCAUGGUGGGGGUUGGAAAGUUUCGGCGGUUGGGGAUGGACUCGCGGCUUAUCAGCUUGUUGGUGGGGUAGUGGCUUACCAAGGCUUUGACGGGUAGCCGGCCUGAGAGGGUGACCGGCCACAUUGGGACUGAGAUACGGCCCAGACUCCUACGGGAGGCAGCAGUGGGGAAUAUUGCACAAUGGGCGGAAGCCUGAUGCAGCAACGCCGCGUGCGGGAUGACGGCCUUCGGGUUGUAAACCGCUUUCGCCUGUGACGAAGCGUGAGUGACGGUAAUGGGUAAAGAAGCACCGGCUAACUACGC